Molecule: non-coding RNA, 1271 nt
Organism: Rattus norvegicus (Norway rat)
Lineage: Eukaryota; Metazoa; Chordata; Mammalia; Rodentia; Muridae
Source: RefSeq, a predicted model, not a curated record
AACAAGAUGGUUUGCCAUGGUUCUGCACCAUUUGAAAAUAUUGUAAGGAUUAGGAGGUGUGGCCUCGUUGGAGAAAGUGUGUCACUGAAGGUGGGCUUAGAGGUUUCAAAAAGCCCAUGUCAGACCCAGUCUCCCCGCCCACCCUAAUGGAACAGGAUGUAGCUCUGCGCUACUUCUCCAGCAGCAGUCCUGCCUGUUGCCUGUUACUCCCUGCAAUUAUGGUGAAUGGACUGAGACUCUGGAACUGUAGGCAAGCCCCCAGUUAACUACUUUCUUUUAUAAGAGUUACCUUGUGUUGGUAUUCUGUCUAAACUCCACCCUCACAGCUACCUGGGAACAAACAGCCAGGUAUGCUCCGCCCCGGUUGCCUAGCAACAGCCAACUGUGCCUGACUUAUAUAAAAGGGGCUGCUUGCCCCCUCCUCACUCUCUUUUUUUUUUUUUUUUUUUUUUCUCGGAGCUGGGGACGGAACCCAGGGCCUUGCGCUUCCUAGGGCAAAUUUGAUAUGCACCCAGGUUAACCUUGGCUGAAAGUCAAAGUCCCAUCGUCAGGUGAUCGAGACUCCCACACAUGAGACGCUUAGGGCUAACUGAGAAAUUCUCAUCUGUGAAGAACUAAAGGCCAGAGCUCAGUGUCUCAGGGACAUCAUCCUGGGGAGAGCGACAUGGAGCCUGACUGAGGAGUCAGAUAUCAGAGAAUCCAGCAGGAAGCUGCUCUCCUGCCUUGGCCCCUUGGCCCUGAAAAUGUGUGCCUGCUUCAAGUCCAUCUCCUCUCAGCUGCUGAGUCGUUGUCUGUCUGCAGUGGAGAUGAAGCGACCACAGAUGCCCACAGAUGAGGGCCUCAGCAGCUUUUCAGUCCGACAGCAGCUUUUCAGUCCGACAGCCUCUGACCUCGCUUAUCCCUAGCCGCAGCUUCCAAACCAGCGCCAUUUCAAGGUAUUGGAGCUGCCAAAGUCAUUGGAGCUGAGGCUGCUACAGUUGGGGUGGCUGGCUCUGGGGCAAGGAUUGGGACUGUUUUGGGGAGUCUCCUAUUCGAUUCUGGGCUUUGCCCACUCAGAGGCCACGGGGCUCUCUCGCCUAAUGGUGGCCUUCUCAUCCUCCUCGUCAUGUGGAGCAGCUGUUUCCACUUUCACCUCCUAUAGUUCUUUCGUGUCUCGUCUGCCCCCCCUUAUGUUCCUUUUCCUGUGCCUCCCCAAGAAGUCUGGGGAAAGUGCUUGGCUCAGGGUUUGACAGAGAGAAGACAAAUAAAUACUGUAUUCAUGAGAAAAAAAA